UGCCCUGUAGCUCAAUUGGCAGAGCGCCUGGCUCUGGACCAGGAGGUUCCAGGUUCGAAUCCUGGCGGGGCAA
Molecule: transfer RNA, 73 nt
Filed under: Bacteroidota bacterium
Lineage: Bacteria; Pseudomonadati; Bacteroidota
Also listed under: 2 other names
Description: Bacteroidetes bacterium tRNA-Gln
Rfam family: tRNA
About the family: Transfer RNA (tRNA) molecules are approximately 80 nucleotides in length.
Source: RNAcentral